CUAUGCAAACCAACAGCAACUGGAACCAACAGCAUACUUGGGGAGCAUGGGACGCAUGAAUGGAAGUCCCCCUUCUUCUUUCUUCCCUAAUAAUGAAGAGUUAUUUCAUUCUCCACAAAGCGUCAAACUCAACCUGUCUCUCCCAUGAGGAGGUGAAAAUUAUGCACUGUCAGGAAAAUCAUACAGGUCUGUGGCCCAAGAAUAAAAGCAUCUCUUGAAGCUCCAGGAUCAACCACCUGGCUACAGUUUCCAGAGAAUCAGGGCCACACGACAAGAACCAGCACGUUCGUGUCUGACAAUGACGUUAGCGGCCUUUGGAGCAGCAGAAACAACCGCCCCAGCCAAGCAGUGCCGUCUGCCAGCCUCAGAGAUACAGGAAUUGCCGUGCUUCUGCAGACACCUGCCAACCAGGAUCCAUCCUCUUCUGCCUCUCCUCCAGACAGUAUGAAGCCUGUAGAGGUCUUCAAGAACUUGACUGUGAUUUUCUGAGCUGUGAAGAGAUGUGGAAGCAGAACGCCAACGGUUUGGACAGCUGGUGGAAGUGAGAGUAAGAGAGGAGAAAAGCAGUGUUACCCUGAGAAAGCCAGACAUGCAGAUGAAUAAAAAAAUUCUCAACCAACAAGAAAAUUUGCCUGUGAGUCCAAGCUCGUCUGCACAUCAGGGAUACACCAAUACCAGGACUUGAAAUCUGGCUUCACUUCAUCCAAAAGCCACUGGCUUUUGAAUAACUGCUUCCAGAGUCACUCCCCAAACACAGGUCCAGAAGUCAGCUCAGAACUUAAUUUAUCCUCUUCUGGCCUUAACCUAGGUCAGGUUAGAGAGACUGUAUGUGAUAGCACUUGCUAAUCCAUGCCAGAAGCUACAGAAGCAGGGAGCACCUUCAGGCCCAUCUACAUCCAGCACCUGGCUAGAGGCACACUCGGUCUAGAGCAGCCCUAUAACUAGUCACCUGUUCUACCCUUCUUUCUCCACAGCUUUGCAGCAGCUGUCAGAUUCACUAUUUGGGUGUAUGUAGAAAUGACAACUCCCCUUGCACAUGGUACCCCUCCACAUGUAAGAAUGGUGUGGGGAGGCUAUAGCAGGAGCCUCCUUAAGGAGAGGCAGAACUUAAUAAUAGGUCAUCUUGUGUGGACUGGCUGAGUUCAUUGCUCUCUUAUUCCUACCAUACAAGGAGUCAUCUGUGACAGAGAUAUGGGUUUUCCCAGAGAAGUGAAUUCUGGAUUAAACACUAUUGAGACACACAAGGCACUUCAUGCCCCACACAGAUCUUGUUUCUGGCUCUUUGCAGACUCAAGCAUAUUUCAACGGCUAAGGUUUAUGCCCUGAUCUGCAGCUUGCAGGAAAGGGAAGAUACUGCUUCUGAAUAACUGAAAGUUAGUGUUCCAAUUUACAAACAUCACUACCAGGACUGUAAUCUUGGGUAUGGCCAGCUAUAGAGUACUUCUGCUUUGAUCUCUCCUUGUACGUAGGCUCCAUCUCCGCAAGGAAUUCUUUCCAUAUUAAUUGCAUCUAGGGUCUGUUCAUUGUCUAGCAGUUUUCCAGUUCAGUUUGAGUAUAUUUUGGGUGAUAAUGGAUCCCCUGAAGUUUCCACCAUAAACACGGUGGCUAGUCAGCCCUAUGGGACUGGAACUUUGUUAAACGGUUCUCUAGAACCCAAAACUGAACCUAGAAUCUUUGGUUUGGACAGGAGCAUGGAUUUUAAAUCUUAGCUUAAAAGUAAUGCACUCUAGAGCUCAGUCCAAAUAUCCCCUCAUGAUCCUACCUGUCACAGUUGAGCUACAGUUUGGUUUAUCACUGAUCUGCCUCAGUGUGCUAAGUUUUUAUCUCCCCACUCAUGAGGUACAUGCUUCUCAUUCACUUAAUUUGUUUCUCUCAGGGAACGUUUAUUCAACAGUUGUCACCAAGUCCACGUGAAGUGAAGCAGGACUAUUUGGGGAAGAUGGUCAUAUUCUGCCUGGCCUCCUCUGGGGCUGCAGUGCUAUACUGCCAGCACUGUAUGGGACAACUGUAGCCUGACCUUGAUCCUGCUGCCUCUUCUUCUAUCUUCCUUGCACAGCCUGGUGUCUGACUAGCUGGAAAGGAAUAAGAUGUUGACAAUGUUGACAGUGGCUAGAGUUUUCUUUCCUUUUUCAGUCACUGGCGACUAACUGCAGCCCUCAGUAGCGAGCAGUUGCAAUCAGUGAGCUGAACUUCCAAGGGCUCUUCAGAUCCUUCUACAGUUCUCACUGCAAAAUACCUCCUGGAUGGAGUUACUUAACCUGGGUUAUAUAUACACACACAUUUCUGCUCCCUUGGAUUCACCACUCUAUGCUUUCUUUCAUAUCCUCCCUUCCUUCUCCCCUCCCUGCAUGUCUUGUUGUACCUUGUUUCUACAUGCCUAAAUCAUGCUUUAAAUAACAGCUGUCUCAUUCUUUGCUUCGUCUCAUACCCAGGUAAUUAUUUUCAAUUUAUUGAUUUUCCACAUGGAGAUUAAUGGGUUAUUCAGCUCUCAAAGCCUAUAUCUACACAGCUGUGAGUUAAAGUGUGGGCAUGGGAAGGUGGAGUUUAUGUGGCUGAUCACCUCUCCGAUGAACUUGUGUACCAAACUAAAGGGGUUUUUUUCCUUCCUACUCUCUAUAAAAAGCCAUCAAGUUUCAGACUCUUGCCAGUGAGUAAUCACAUUUCACAGGGAAUAAAAAAUAAUAAAUAAAAAC
Long non-coding RNA from Dromaius novaehollandiae (emu), 2693 nucleotides. RefSeq lists it as uncharacterized. The record is from RefSeq and is a predicted model, not a curated record. Lineage: Eukaryota; Metazoa; Chordata; Aves; Casuariiformes; Dromaiidae. The transcript is spliced from 4 exons.